RNAcentral lists this ribosomal RNA (305 nucleotides) under uncultured bacterium. Its description in RNAcentral is "bacterial SSU rRNA". It matches the Rfam family "Bacterial small subunit ribosomal RNA", at positions 338 to 660 of the family's 1533-position model. The record is from RNAcentral.
CCUACGGGGGGCAGCAGUGGGGGAUAUUGCACAAUGGGGGAAACCCUGAUGCAGCGACGCCGCGUGGGUGAAGAAGCGCCUCGGCGCGUAAGGCCCUUUCAGCAGGGAAGAAAAUGACGGUACCUGAAGAAGAAGCCCCGGCUAACUACGUGCCAGCAGCCGCGGUAAUACGUAGGGGGCAAGCGUUAUCCGGAUUUACUGGGUGUAAAGGGGGCGCAGACGGCGAUGCAAGCCAGGAGUGAAAGCCCGGGGCCCAACCCCGGGACUGCUCUUGGAACUGCGUGGCUAGAGUGCAGGAGGGGCAG